Molecule: ribosomal RNA, 323 nt
Filed under: uncultured eukaryote
Lineage: Eukaryota
Description: partial 18S ribosomal RNA
Rfam family: Eukaryotic small subunit ribosomal RNA
Source: RNAcentral
CCCUUAGAUGUUCUGGGCUGCACGCGUGCUACACUGAUAUUGCCAAUAUGUCAUUCUUAUCCGAAAUGGAUUGGGUAAUCAAGUAAUGAAAUUUCAUGCUUGGAAUCGGUAAUUGCAAUUUUAUCGUGAACGAGGAAUUCCUAGUAAGCACUAGUCAUCAGCUAAUGUUGAUUAUGUCCCUGCCCUUUGUACACACCGCCCGUCGCUACUACUGAUUGGGUGUUCAAGUGAGAUACUUAGACCCUUGUUGCAUGGUUCAUUAUUGUGCUCCGAAAGGAAAAAGUUUCAAGCUUGAGUGUCUAGAGGAAGUAAAAGUCGUAACA